AUGCCAACUCAGCCAAAAAAAUGGGAUGCCUCACCUAAGUUUAGCGCCCCCUUAUUUAUAAGAUAAGAAGGGGUGCCAAAAACAUCUCCAAGGGAUGCCAACCUUUGGCAUCCCAAUUCCUUCACAUGGUGAAAUAAAUCACCAUAAUAAAAAUUGGUGUGGGGAAGUUAAGGAGAAGAAGGACUCUUCCUUCUUGGUCCCAUA
Molecule: long non-coding RNA, 204 nt
Filed under: Elaeis guineensis (African oil palm)
Lineage: Eukaryota; Viridiplantae; Streptophyta; Magnoliopsida; Arecales; Arecaceae
Description: long non-coding RNA (EGUI_LNC066511)
Source: RNAcentral